AAGGCCCUUUGUCUUGGGGAAAGCGGCAAUUGAUCAGUUCUCUUAGAGCCAGAUAGCUGGGCUUUUCAGGGCAGAUGCUAAUGCUGCCCUUUAGAAAGCUCAGGAAUGCAGGUGACCUUCUUGGGUAACAACCUCCUUCCUCGCGGCUUGUCUGUCAUGUUGUCUGCACAGGGAUAUGCUUGGAGAACGUAGGGCCUCAGGGUCCUACGGAAUAAAAUCAACGAUUUGUUGAAGCUCCCUAUGAAGCCAGAACUUACAGAGGAGCCAUUGGGAUGUGACGGGGGUAGAAAGAGAAGAGUCAACGGCGUGUGUGUGGUCUCCAGUUUAGAAGACAGAGAGAGUGCUGCUCCCAGGACUGGAAUGGGGAUGCUGAUCGGCACCAUCUUGUUCACUGUCGAAUCCCCCAAGUUCAGCACAGUGACGAGCGCCUAACAGAUGCUUUAGACAUAUUUUUGGAUGAUUCAAUAAAUAAAUGAACAAAACUGAAGUCAGCAUGUGCUCUCAGAGAAAGUGAAGGAAUAAAUCAGGGGUCAAAAACUCUUUCCCUGGGGCCAGCCCGGUGGCGCAGCGGUUAAGUUCGCACAUUCCACUUCGGUGGCCGGGUGCCGGUGUUCACCGGUUCGGAUCCCGGAGGCAGACAUGGCACCGCUUGGCAAGCCAUGCUGUGGUAGGAGUCCCACAUAUAAAGCAGAGGAAGAUGGGGACGGAUGUUAGCUCAGGGCCAGUCUUCCUCAACAAAAAGAGGAGGAUUGGCAGCAGUUAGCUCAGGGCUGAUCUUCCUCAAAAAAAAAAAAAAAAACUCUUUCCCUUCAGGGCCCCUAUUAGUCAGGGCUCAGCUGCAGAUAAGAGUAACCAAUCCACCUAGUUUAAGCAGAAAUGAAUUUAAUUCCAGGAAUUAAGUGCCUACAGAGUCAUUGGAAGUGAUGGAGGAACAGAUAAUCUCUAGGCUGAGAAGAGAUUCCAAAAAACCCCACAGAACUGGUCCACCGAGGGAAAGGAAUUGCUACUUCUGCUAUAAUCAGGAAGCUACAGGGGUAGGAGGCAACUGCUGGCUCCAUGUCUACACCACUGGCGGUUGGGGGUCAAAAAGCUGCCCCUAGAACAGCUGGCUCCAGAGCCGCGUUGUACCUGCUGGAAUCCACCACAGCAAAACAGCUGCUGCCACUCUCCCCUGCGAGUCCCAGUAAGUGUGUCCCAUGGUGACUGAGUCCCUCCUGGAGCCACACCUGCAGCGAGUUUGGGAAAUGCAGACCCUAGCUUUCCAGCCUCUGCCGUGGAGGAAGUUAUCCCAGAAGGAGGUUGGAACAGAAGCUGAGUGAGCCAACCGACGCUCUCCACUACAGGUGCCAAGCAGAUGCAUGUGCUGCACCUGGAACCUCAAGCACCAGGCAUCUUCGUGAACACCCCCUUCCGACCCAAGCGCACACACUGAGGAAAGGCCGUGCGAGGGCCCUGUGAGAAGGUGGCCUUCUGGAAACCGGGAAUAGAGUCCUCAUGGAACCAACACUGCCAGGACCUUCAUCGUGGACGUCCAGCCCCCAGAACUUGCACAGUAGACGUCUUUUGAGGUCCUUCUCUGUAAGGGCUACCUCAUCAUUUUUAACACCUGCAUUCAGCUUAUACCAAAUGUUUCUGAAAUCGAGGCUUUUUAUGUGCCUUCUGUCUUGGAGCAAGGACUCCCGAGAGCAGCAUCGUGAGCCUGGCUGAGGGGAGACCCAAGGACGGCCGGGACCCAGCCUCCACGCCAGGCCUACGCUGCAGAGCCCACAUCCCCGACAGCUCUGCAGGCAGACAAGUGAAGGCACUGGUCGUCCCCACCGGGGACAAGCCCCCCGUGACAGCGCCAUGUCCAGUGGGCAGGGGCUGCCUUCUCCGGUUGCUCAGGAGUGAGCAGUUCCGCUGCCCACUCUCCCCUCCCUCCACCCGCGCAUCAUUCUUGAGCUGCUGCCAUAGGAACUUGCCAGGCAGAGGGUUGGUGAAGCCUUCCCACCACUGCCUGGAUGGGCUGCAGCAGUCCCCCCGCCCGCCACCUGCUCCCCGGCACAGGCUGCACGUUAGAAUCAUGAAAUCGCUAUGUCGAAGAGAGAUCUGCACCCAGUGUUCACCGCAGCACUAUUCACAACAGCCAAGACGUGGGAACGACCUGGGUGUCCAUCGACAGAUGAAUGGAUAAAGAAAACGUGGGUCAAGGUUCUGCAGACUUCUCAACAGAUCUCUGAAUCCGCCUGGUCCAGGUCCCCCGCCCAGGGAGCCAUACUCAGAACAAGAGCAGCUGGGAGUCAAAGCACAUUUGGUUCACGUCCAAAGUAGCAUCCGACAGCCCUCCAGGAGGGGGCUCCCUGGGAGAAACCAGGUUGGCCAGGAGGCUCCAGCUAUCUGAGCUCCUCCCCCUGAAACUGAACUGAACUGAAGGUGUCUGGGGCUGUAGGGCAGCCUAGAAGCAGUGAGACCACCAGCGGCAGGCGUGGGGAGGGCAGACCCCACCUCUGUGCGCUUGCCACAUAGGUACAGACAGCGCCUGGGGGCUUCCUUCCAAGGUGGUGUGACUGCCCAUUAGCAAAAUGCGGCCAAGCGAAUGCCAAGUUCUGAUCAGUCAGGUCAGCAACUCCCCUCCCCCAGAAUGAGGAACACCCUCCUCCCAACAUCCCCUGGCUAAACCACCGUUCCCGCCUUCCGUGGGUUUCCAUGCUCUGCCCCCUCCCACUUGCUGUCCUGGCUGCUUCAGUUCAUCAACAUCCCCCCGAGAGUGUGGAGCCCAGAAUGGGUACCUUGUUCUCCCUUGUUUUGCUUGAAUGCAGGAAAUAAAUCUCCGUUUCAGUAACUGGACCGUCAAAGACUAUAAUCUGUGUCCUGAACAAGACUCAAGGGACGGGACCAUAGUAAGACUGAGUGCCAACUGAGUACUUACUGUGUGCAGAUGGCGGUAACACUGCCGGGGGACACGAGGAGAGGCGCUGAGCGGUGGGUGGCCUGCGCUGGUGCCUGCCGUUCUCCUGACAGUUCCAUGAAGUAGGUGCUCUUCCUGGGGGCUGCCUGGGCUCAAAAGCCAUCUGUGGCUCCAGACUCCGCCCGCGUCCAGGCUCAGUGGCUGUGCCCGCUCUCUGCAUCGCCACGGCGGGCUCCACUGGCUGCACAUCCG
Molecule: long non-coding RNA, 3139 nt
Filed under: Equus caballus (horse)
Lineage: Eukaryota; Metazoa; Chordata; Mammalia; Perissodactyla; Equidae
Description: lncRNA (ENSECAG00000028012.3)
Source: RNAcentral